Molecule: ribosomal RNA, 405 nt
Filed under: uncultured bacterium
Lineage: Bacteria
Description: bacterial SSU rRNA
Rfam family: Bacterial small subunit ribosomal RNA
Source: RNAcentral
GGGGAAUAUUGCACAAUGGGCGCAAGCCCGAUGCAGCAACGCCGCGUGAGGGAAGACGGCCUUCGGGUUGUAAACCUCUUUUAGUAGGGAAGAAGCGAAAGUGACGGUACCUGCAGAAAAAGCACCGGCUAACUACGUGCCAGCAGCCGCGGUAAUACGUAGGGUGCAAGCGUUAUCCGGAAUUAUUGGGCGUAAAGAGCUCGUAGGCGGUUCGUCGCGUCUGCUGUGAAAACCCGAGGCUCAACCUCGGGCCUGCAGUGGGUACGGGCGGACUAGAGUGCGGUAGGGGAGAUUGGAAUUCCUGGUGUAGCGGUGGAAUGCGCAGAUAUCAGGAGGAACACCGAUGGCGAAGGCAGAUCUCUGGGCCGUAACUGACGCUGAGGAGCGAAAGCAUGGGGAGCGAAC